UACGUAGGUGGCGAGCGUUGUCCGGAUUUACUGGGCGUAAAGAGCGCGCAGGCGGUCGUACAAGUCGCGUGUGAAAGCCCCUGGCUCAACUGGGGAGGGUCACGCGAUACUGUUCGACUCGAAGGCAGGAGAGGGAAGUGGAAUUCCCGGUGUAGUGGUGAAAUGCGUAGAUAUCGGGAGGAACACCAGUGGCGAAGGCGACUUCCUGGCCUGUUCUUGACGCUGAGGCGCGAAAGCUAGGGUAGCGAACGGG
This 253-nucleotide ribosomal RNA is filed under the name uncultured bacterium. RNAcentral's name for it is "partial 16S ribosomal RNA". It matches the Rfam family "Bacterial small subunit ribosomal RNA", at positions 524 to 776 of the family's 1533-position model. The record is from RNAcentral.